UACGGAGGAUCCAAGCGUUAUCCGGAUUUAUUGGGUUUAAAGGGUGCGUAGGCGGUUUGAUAAGUUAGAGGUGAAAUCCCGUGGCUCAACCACGGAACUGCCUCUGAUACUGUCAGACUAGAGAAUAGUUGCUGUGGGCGGAAUGUGUGGUGUAGCGGUGAAAUGCUUAGAGAUCACACAGAACACCGAUUGCGAAGGCAGCUCACAAAGCUAUAUCUGACGCUGAGGCACGAAAGCGUGGGGAGCAAACAGG
This 253-nucleotide ribosomal RNA is filed under the name uncultured bacterium. RNAcentral's name for it is "partial 16S ribosomal RNA". It matches the Rfam family "Bacterial small subunit ribosomal RNA", at positions 524 to 776 of the family's 1533-position model. The record is from RNAcentral.